GUGCUUGCUUCGGCAGCACAUAUACUAAAAUUGGAACGAUACAGAGAAGAUUAGCAUGGCCCCUAUAAAAAAAAAAAGAAAUAAAAUAAAAAAUAAAAUACCAUCUCUGU
Molecule: small nuclear RNA, 110 nt
Organism: Grammomys surdaster
Lineage: Eukaryota; Metazoa; Chordata; Mammalia; Rodentia; Muridae
Source: RefSeq, a predicted model, not a curated record